RNAcentral lists this ribosomal RNA (1477 nucleotides) under metagenome. RNAcentral describes it as "bacterial SSU rRNA". It matches the Rfam family "Bacterial small subunit ribosomal RNA". The record is from RNAcentral.
AGAGUUUGAUCCUGGCUCAGGACGAACGCUGGCGGCGCGCCUAACACAUGCAAGUCGAACGGAGCUGAGAGGAGCUUGCUUUUCUUAGCUUAGUGGCGAACGGGUGAGUAACGCGUGAGUAACCUGCCCUGGAGUGGGGGACAACAGUUGGAAACGACUGCUAAUACCGCAUAAGCCCACGAUCCGGCAUCGGAUUGAGGGAAAAGGAUUUAUUCGCUUCAGGAUGGACUCGCGUCCAAUUAGCUAGUUGGUGAGGUAACGGCCCACCAAGGCGACGAUUGGUAGCCGGGCUGAGAGGUUGAACGGCCACAUUGGGACUGAGACACGGCCCAGACUCCUACGGGAGGCAGCAGUGGGGGAUAUUGCACAAUGGGGGAAACCCUGAUGCAGCGACGCCGCGUGGAGGAAGAAGGUUUUCGGAUUGUAAACUCCUGUCGUUAGGGACGAUAAUGACGGUACCUAACAAGAAAGCACCGGCUAACUACGUGCCAGCAGCCGCGGUAAAACGUAGGGUGCAAGCGUUGUCCGGAAUUACUGGGUGUAAAGGGAGCGCAGGCGGACCGGCAAGUUGGAAGUGAAAACUAUGGGCUCAACCCAUAAAUUGCUUUCAAAACUGCUGGCCUUGAGUAGUGCAGAGGUAGGUGGAAUUCCCGGUGUAGCGGUGGAAUGCGUAGAUAUCGGGAGGAACACCAGUGGCGAAGGCGACCUACUGGGCACCAACUGACGCUGAGGCUCGAAAGCAUGGGUAGCAAACAGGAUUAGAUACCCUGGUAGUCCAUGCCGUAAACGAUGAUUACUAGGUGUUGGAGGAUUGACCCCUUCAGUGCCGCAGUUAACACAAUAAGUAAUCCACCUGGGGAGUACGACCGCAAGGUUGAAACUCAAAGGAAUCGACGGGGACCCGCACAAGCGGUGGAGCAUGUGGUUUAAUUCGAAGCAACGCGAAGAACCUUACCAAAUCUUGACAUCCCGGUGACAAAGUAUGUAAAGUACUCUUUCUUCGGAACACCGGUGACAGGUGGUGCAUGGUUGUCGUCAGCUCGUGUCGUGAGAUGUUGGGUUAAGUCCCGCAACGAGCGCAACCCCUAUCCUUAGUAGCCAGCAGUAAGAUGGGCACUCUAGGGAGACUGCCGGGGAUAACCCGGAGGAAGGUGGGGAUGACGUCAAAUCAUCAUGCCCCUUAUGAUUUGGGCUACACACGUGCUACAAUGGCGUAAACAAAGGGAAGCGAGCCUGCGAGGGUGAGCAAAUCCCAAAAAUAACGUCUCAGUUCGGAUUGUAGUCUGCAACUCGACUACAUGAAGCUGGAAUCGCUAGUAAUCGCAGAUCAGAAUGCUGCGGUGAAUACGUUCCCGGGUCUUGUACACACCGCCCGUCACACCAUGGGAGUCGGAAAUGCCCGAAGCCGGUGACCUAACCGCGAGGAGGGAGCCGUCGAAGGCAGGUCUGAUAACUGGGGUGAAGUCGUAACAAGGUA